RNAcentral lists this long non-coding RNA (365 nucleotides) under Homo sapiens (human). RNAcentral describes it as "HSALNT0052724". Lineage: Eukaryota; Metazoa; Chordata; Mammalia; Primates; Hominidae. The record is from RNAcentral.
UUAACAAUUGGGGUUCUCCCUGGAAACACUGCAGCAAGAUGCUACACCUUCCAGAAAGCAUAAAAAUAAUUCUCUAUUUAUUUGUUGCCUGGCAACAAUACUCUUUAUUUUUAUUCACAGGGAAAUUUCAGAAAUAUUUGCUGAUCAGUGCAACUGUGGCAAGGAAGGGGAAAAGUGAAAAUAGCUCUCUUAAGGUUCAAAAAUUGAUAUGGCAGUUUAACCUUUUUCAUUUGUAUAGACCUAGGUGGUGCUCAUGACCCUGAAGAGCAAAAAGCAUAUCAAAUGUAAAGGCAGAGUGAAUAUGAUCAGAGAGGAUCAAGGGUCUUUGGGAUACACUACGUGAAGGUGUUGCAGUUCUCAGGAGG